This 30738-nucleotide long non-coding RNA is filed under the name Coffea arabica (coffee). Lineage: Eukaryota; Viridiplantae; Streptophyta; Magnoliopsida; Gentianales; Rubiaceae. The record is from RNAcentral.
CUUCUUCCUCCCCUUCCCGUUCUACUGGAGCUUAGUUCAUUAUUUGCAAUUAAUGGGUAAGGGUGGCUUAUGUGCCUGGUAUUUUGUCAAACUGUCAUGCAUGCAGAUUUCAGAUUAUGUGCUAACUUCUUAGUAAUGUGUUCCUUGUCCAACUCUAAUCGCCAGCAAGAGAUUCUUUUCCUUUCUCUCUCUUUUUUUUUUUUUUUGGGGCAUCACCAUUUCCCAGCUGAGAUCUUCCAGUGAUAUCCUAAACUUGAUUAUUUUAUGCUGAGGAGAGAGGAAUGUGUUCUCACCAUCCCUCAUUCUCUCUCCAUUCCAGCUUCUUCUUUCCCACUUCUCCCAUGCUAAAGUAAAAAGGUACAUGUUGAAGUACUAUUUCACUAUUUUUUAGAGAAAAGUAAGAUCGGGGGAGGUAACUGAUAAUAGCAACCCAACAAGAAGGCAAAAUGAUAUAUCAGGCGAAAAAGUGAUCAUGGAUUAAUGGAUUUCCAGGUUAUGGACAGGUUUGUCUUGAUCUCUUACUUUUUCAGCCGUACUCAAAAUUCAACUAGCCUUGCCAAUGCCAUCCACGGCCUCCUGCAACAAGCUCUCAAUCUCAUUUUCUAAAUUUUUUUCACUCUCAUUAUAUCUUAGCUUUUGCAUAGUCAAUUUUAGCAAAUUUUACCUGAACUAUUGGACACGAUUGCAACGAGUUCAUUUUCUUACGUGAUAGGGUCGUUAAUUCAAUAUCUUGUACAUGCAACACUACAUUUGUUUUUUUUUUUUUCCAUUUUAAUUGACUAUACGAGUAAUCACUCUAGAAUCUAUAUGCAUAAUGUCUUUAUGAUUUAUUUUUUAUACACAAAUAAUAUAUACACGAUCACCAUUGAAUGCAUGAUAACUGAUUUGAAUGUUAACUUGAAAUCCAAAUUUUACAUAUAUAUAAUACAUCCAAUCGUGAUAAUAUAUACACCACCAAUAUGGAUAAAAUUAAUUCAUAUUUUUAACAUCCAUGUUUUAUAUGUUUCAAAAAGAAAUUAACACCUUAUUUCAUUUAUUUGAUUGAAUAUUAGAAACCUCCCUGCUGAAAGUAAAUUGUAAGAGUGUCAAAUUUGAUGUUUGCCGUUUUUUUAAAGAUAUGAACAUUAAUAAAGAUACAUCAAUCAAAGCUACCCCCAAAAAAAAAAGCAUAUAAAGGACAAAGGGUUUUAUGGCACAGACUUGCUAAUACAUAAAUUCCUUGAUUGAGUUCAAAACUUAAUGCACUUUCACCGACAAUAUGCCAAAAAUACCCUUACUCGAAGACUUUGGAAGUUCCAAGUGUUUGAGACUAAUGGGAUGCAUAAACUAUUAUGAAUUAAUCUUUUCUACACAACACAACAGUGUAUCCAUUGUCUGCUAGUUUUUGAUGAAUGACAGUAAUUCAAUUUCAAAUUUGAAUUUGAAUUGUCUGUAAAAUUUGAACUUGAAAUUCAAUUUUUUUGCACGUAUCAUUAAUCCAAUGGUGAUAGUGUACAUAUUAUCAGUGUAUAUAAGGUUUACUCAAAUAUUUAACAUUAAUUUUUGAAUUUGACCUAAAAGAUCUGUGUCACUAAUAGCAUGAAGAUGGAACUUAAACCUAAGAACAUGAUUAAAUAACCGUUCCAAAUUUUCAUGGAUUUAAAGGACGACUUGAUUUCUCCUUCUAACUAAUUAAGUUGGUCAUGCAUGCUACGAGGGUGGCGUGAUUUUGAGGGCCGACAUAUAGAAUAACAAUGCAAUUAUUGGUACUUUGGGAUUAAUCCCAGAUGCCUUUUUCUGAAUUAGUCUUUUUAUUAUUGUAAUUACUUGGAGUUAUGUUAAAAUUCCCUAUAGCACUUUAUAGUCCACUUGCUGCUAUGGGUACCAAAUGGAAUCCUAGUUGGAUUCAUUAUGUUCCUUCGACCGUCUUCCCAUUUGAAUAUGUUUUGCGUGCACGAAACACGUCCUUGCCAAAAUGCAAUUGGCGUUGCAAUCAUUUGUCUAUUGGUGACAUUUAUCUUGAGACCAUCAACCAUUGUAUGUAUCAAUUAUCAUGUCUAGACCUGAGAUUUGUGUCCAUAAGGUAGACUUAUCAGAAUGAGUCCAAGCGAAAGUGGUGCUAAUCUAAAUUAAUACUAUGCUCUUUUCGUGUUUUGUAUUUCAUGGUAGCUUAAAUAUUUUGUUCUGCUCUAUAUGGGUAAUCUUGAGAGUAAAUUAAAACUCUGAAUAUUCUCUACAUAGUUGACCCGUAAUUUCAUGCACAAAGCUAGCUCCAAGGCCUUAUUUUUGGCCUCUAACGUCAUAUGGUUUUUCUAGCAUACGGUAGCACUACGACCUUAUGCUGUGUACUAUUUUACUUUGUAACAAAUGAUGAUAGUUCCUUCACUAAAAAUGUAAGUGGCUGUAGUUUAGUGGUAAGAAUUCCACGUUGUGGCCGUGGAGACCUGGGCUCGAAUCCCAGCAGCCACAUUUUCUGUUUUAUAUGAUUGCACUUAAAAUGCAAUAAUUGUUUUUGAAACCUUUCUCCUUUUUUUUUCUCCUGAAUUUAGCUUGUUGCCAUAUAAUGGAUUAGAAAUUUACUUAAGAUAGAAUGGCGUCUCUAACACGGCCAUUGGCCAACCUAUUACAAACUUUAAUACUUGCACAUGUUUAGGUAAGAAUGGGUAGCAAUAAAGCCUUUAGGGGAUUGCCUUUAAAAAAAAAAAAACUUUAAUACAAACUUUAAUACUUGCACAUGCUUAGGUAAAUGGGUAGCAUUGAAGCCUUUAGGGGAUUGCCUUUAUUAAAAAAAAAAAAAAAAGCCUUAAGGGGAUUAAAUGUUUUUAACUGUGUUAUUCAAAAAUCACACUGUAAAAAAUUUGUUAGGUGCACAGUGCACCUACCAUAACCACCAACCACCUCGAUCACCACUAUUCAUCUCCACUACUACUAUUGCCCUUCCUCCCUCUUUCUCUCUCCUCUUCAUCCUCCCUUCUCUUUGGUCUUGGGAAGAGGUAUCGAUAGAGGAGGGGAGGAAAGAAAGAGAGAGGGGGGAAGAGUGAGGGAGAGAAAGGAGAAAGGAAAGAAAGAGCUAAACCCAACUUCAAAAACACUUUUAUCCUAAUAUAUUAAAUAAGAACAAAGUGUCUAUUUAAUAAGUUUAGACCUUCUAAAGGAUAAAAAAUAGGUAAAGUUUAGGAAAAUUUAACGUUUUUUGUGAACACAUUUUUCAGUUUUUUUUUUUAAUUAUAAACAUCAAAUUAUUAUGGUACAUUUUUCUAUAAAAAUUAAAAAAAAAUUCAAACAACACCUUACGAGUCAAUCAUAUUUGACCUGUAACAUUUAACCAUGUCUUGUGUAUACUUGUAUUAUGUAGAUAGUUAGUAAGGUUGGGCUGUAUUGGGUACUCAUCCUGUGCAUUAUUUUGUUGAAUCAACCAACACCUUAUGGGUCAGUCAUUUUCUGACUUUUACUAAGCCCAUAUAUUAGCAAGUACUUGGUUAACGAGUACCCAUUGAGGUACGAUCGAAUCAAUAGGUACCUGUUCUACCUCGUUUAUCAUUUAUUUUUUUUAAAAAAUAAUUUAUACUAAAAUAAUUUUAUAUUUUACAUAUUCAUAUAAGAUUUAAUAAAUGUUUUCUCAAAAAAGUUUCCUACCAUGAUUAUUAGUUUCAUCGUUUAUCAUUAUUUUACUUAUUUAGCUUUAAAAAUAUUACUUUGUAGUAUGUGUAUACAAAUAAAAAUAAAAAAUAUAUAUACCAAACGGAUUGGAUAUCUAUGGGUUCUUAAUCACGUAGCACUAACCCGACCCUGUAUAUAAGCGCGGAUUUUUUUAUUUAUUUUGGCCCAACCCUAGUAUUUUUUCUUUUUUUUUUUUGUCGAUACGAUAGAUUUCUACACUAAGGAGAGGAGGAGGACUUGAAAAGGUCUAAAAGUAACCCGAAAGGGAUUGAACCACUGGACUAGAUGAAUGCACUGUACACCCGUUUGAAGUUUUUAAACAAAGCCAAUUUUUAAUAUGGCGAAUUGAUGGGAGGCAACGUUUAAUGAACCCUUGUCUCCCACCCUACAAAGAUUUAAUGCAAUGAUGGUGGCUACCGGUCCAAAGGCAGUGGUUUUGGCCCAACCCUAGUCGUAACGCUGGAGCCAUGGUUGAUUUUAAUCUAGAAUUCUACUGGCAUCCGCGACGCUGGCUGCACUUUUCACUAGCCAGCCAAUUCCCCGAUACUUUCCACGUGGACAGCCGGUCGCCGCUUGCUUAAGGAGCCGUCAACUGAAAAUGUCUCAUCCAGACGAUGAGAAGACCAAAGACUUCUAAGUUUCAAACAUGCACGUUGUCGAGUAUUAUGGUGUAGUAUGGUAUAAUUCUACUCAAAAGUUAGUUAAACAAACAAAAGGAAACCCACCAGGCCACCACCAAUCCCCCACUCUAUCCGUCUAUCAUCAUCGAAUCUCAUCAAAGACAUAUCCCUUAAGAAACCAAACUCUUUAUUGAACAUCCAACUUCCAACUUAGCCGCACGGCUCGGCUCCUCGCUCUUAUAAUACCUAAGCACUAUAAGCAAUAUAGAAAUUGAACCCUAACUACUUUGACCAAAAAAGAAAAUAAGUAAUCAUAUUCCUACCUUUUUUCUAGACACGAUUUGGUAAUUUCAAGUUCCAUGACGGAGUUGGAAAUAUUUUCUGAGCGAAGGCACAAAUUAGCAAUAAAAGUUUGUGUAAUACUUCAAAGAAAUAAAUCUUAAUAAGAGUACUCGAUAGAAAUGUGGUGGACCAAUUUGUAACUUAAAGUUUAUUUGGAAUUGCAGCGACUUAUAAAAAAAAUACUUAAUUAGUAGAGGUCUCAUCAAAGUAUUUAUUAAGUGUUUAAUCAUAUUAUUUGGAUACAUAUUUGUAUAAGUAUUUUCUCUAUUUGAUAAUAUGCAAUUUUAAUCUCUAUUCCUAAAUUAAAAGAAUGAUGCUCGCUAAAUGCGUUAAAAAUUGCUCUUGUUAGCAAAAAAACCACAACUCCAAACGAGCCCUUAAAACUUUAAGUUUAAGUAGUUCUAUUUAUUUGUUUAUUUAUUAUUCAUCAAAUUAUUAUAACAACCAUGAUCUUAAUUAUUUUCACAAUUCAGUGGGGACACAAAUUUCUUAAGAAAUUCUAAACCUAUUAUAAGCCUUUUUUUUUUAGACCUUGCCAACACGUAAUGAAGGCAAAUAUAUAUAGUAAACAAAGUACAUAAUAAAAUCAUGCAAAAAGAUAAACAGGGCUUGAUUAUUUUAAUUUUAAAAAUACAAUCUUGAUAUUUUGACACUAAAUUAUAAGGCGGAGCAACAAAAAUUUUUAGUGAGGAAAUUAAAUGUGAUUUUCACAAGCUUUUGACAUGCAUCAAUGUCUUGAAAACAAUAAUCUCAACUGAUUCCAGCUGACAUAACUGGACAUCGUGAGGUGCUCAAUUAAAUUAGGCCUUCUACUUCUACUGCCGGCAUUCCCCUCGUGGAGGCCAAAAAAAAAAAAAAAAAAAACUACGAAGCUCCGAGUCAUAUUUUAUACUUCAAGCUUGGCUUAACUGGCUUUUGAAGCCGAGAAUAAACCAUAAUUGAGCGGUAACAACAACUAAAGGGCUGUCCCCAUUUAUUUAUCAACUAAAUUGAUUUUGCCUGAUUCAGUAAUAUGGUUGAAAAAUUCAUGCAUCCGAACAAAAUUACUCGUUCAAUUUGGGAUAAGAUUUCACAUCUUUGUGGGUAUAAUCCUAAUCAUUUUUACUUUUCCAAUCUACUCUCCUCAUCUUAGAAAUGCCCAUUUUUGUCCAUUCCUCUUUGUAUAUAUCUGUCUCUGACUCUGUAUCCUUCUCAUCAAUUUCAAGCUGGUAAGGCACCGGAUAUUUUUACGAGCUGGAAUUUACUGGUUUUGAAUGUAUAUUUUUCACUUUGAGUUCUGCAGGAAUUUGUAUAUAGAUCAAAACUUUAUCUAACUUCGGCUUUACUUCUUCUCAUAAACAGGUUUUUGAUGGCCAAAGUUGAAAAAGUUGCAGUGAAUUUGUCGAAGAUUGAAGGGAAAGAAAAGGGGAAAUUCUCAAAUUAAAUUAUUCAUUUCUUGAAGAUUAAUAGAGGGCCCAAGAAGAUUGAACCGCCGAAAUGUAAGUAUCAAUCUUUUCAUACUUCCAUUUUUUAAGUUCCACUUCACGUUUGAGAAUAGUAAUUUGGCUGUUCAAUUCCUGUUACGCAUUGCUUCAACAGUGGGUUUUAGCUUUUUGGUAAUCAGUAGCUUUCUACUCUGCAAACGGAAUAAAUUUUUCUUCGAUCAAUUGGUGAAUUGUGAGUGAUGAUUUUUUUUUUCUAAAAUUGUGGGAUGAAAAAUAACAGUGAAAUGGGAACUGUAAUGGAGCCAGCCAAUGAGAUUAGACAAAGAGGAAAGCAUUACUACACAAUGGGGCAAACUUUGUUUGAGAUCGAUACAAAAUAUGUUCCAAUCAAACCCAUAGGAAGAGGGGCAUAUGGGGUUGUUUGUUCUUCAAUUGAUAUGGAGACUCAUGAGAAAGUGGCAAUCAAAAAGAUACAAAAUGUGUUUGGGAAUAGGAUUGACGCAUUGAGGACUCUCAGGGAGUUGAAGCUUCUGCGGCAUCUUAAGCAUGAGAAUGUGAUUGCCUUGAAGGAUGUCAUGAUGCCUAUGCACAGGAGUAGCUUCAAGGAUGUGUAUUUGGUGUACGAAUUGAUGGAUACUGAUCUUCAUCAUAUUAUAAAGUCAUCUCAGCCGUUAUCAAAUGAUCAUUGCAAGUUUUUUAUUUUCCAGGUGCUGAUUCAUUUUGAGCUUUAAGUACACUAGAUUAAGUUUAUCCUUUUUAGUUCCAUGAGUUUUGUUAUUUGAGAAAGUUAUGGAUUACAAUUUGCUUGUAUGAGUACUAACUGCUGUUCUCAUCCUAAUGGAAGAGGUCUUAGUCACAAUUUUCUCUCUGUUUUUUUUUUUCUUAGUCACAAUUUUCUCUCUGUUAAAAGAAGGAUAGAACCACAUUAGCUACUAUAGAUGCGGUGAUCAACAGCCUUUUUGUGUCUUAAUUUUGAUAUGAACUUCUAUUUGAAACUUUUCUGCUUUUUUUCUUGUUUAUCUCUCCUACACUUACUUUCAUUUCUGAAAUUUGGGGGUCUCUCAUUUCAAGUUCUGAAUAAACUGAAUGAAUUCCAUAUCUAGCAUAACAUAUUUUGAUAGCUUUCCUGAUGAUUAACCUUAGAGUACUCGUAUAGCUUGAAAGCUUUUGGGAAAGACCUAUGUGUUAAAAUUGGUAUUUGACUUAGAAAAUGUAAUUAGUACAUUAGAGCUAGUUCGUAGUUUUAAGGUUUCCCCUGAUGGUGAACUUUGCUACUAUGCCUGGUGUGCCAGUUGUGAUAUACAAAACUUCAUUGUGUCUGAGGACAUUGGAACUAAUUUCAAGGCUUAUGAGUUCACUGUAUCCAGAGGACCAUGUAUUCGGGACUUUAUGCUCAUAAUCAUCUUCUCUUUUUCUAAAGCAUCAAAGAGAUAAGUAGAUAAGUAUAAAUACAAGUAGCAUACGUAGCAGUUAUUUUGUAAAUCCAGCAGAAAAGGUUGUAGAGGCAUUGAUCCUCUUCUGAGUGAAGAACUAUGGUUUCAAUUACACUUGAGAAAAGCUUCAAUUUUAUAUCUUGUGCCUGCAUUUCCUGUCAAGUUGCAUGCUUUGUCUUUUCAAAAUGUUUUCCCGUGGACUAUAUCUCAAAUUUAGAUUGGGUGAAUGGUGCAAAGAAAAGGUUUAUUUGUUGCUUUCUUACAUCAUGCUUAUCAUGAUGGAAUUCAAGACAAGGCAUGAGCCUUUCUUUAGUUGGACUUUCAGGGUUUAUGUUUUAUUUUCAAUCUAAUUUUAAUAACCUUUCUGAGCUUUCACGACAUAUGCAAACAGAAAAUCUUUUCCUGUUGAAGAUUAUUAUCAAUUGUUUCAUUUAACCUUCUUUUCUUUAAAUGCUGAUACGUUGCAAGAUUACUGUUCUUGUGAUUCUUGAACGGUCGCAUUCAUGGCUGUAGCCACGCUCUCACGUGAUCUUCAAUUCAAAAUGUUAGGUAUUAGAAAAUAUGAUGCAUCAAAAGCUCUUGAGUUAUUCUCCUUAAUUUUUUUGCUGGUCUGAUUCUCUGCUCCUGUUUUUCCCUCAUCACUGAAUUGCAAUGUGCAGCUUCUUUGUGGUUUACAAUAUCUUCACUCGGCAAAUGUCCUUCAUCGGGACUUGAAACCAGGAAAUCUCCUCGUUAAUGCUAAUUGUGCACUCAAGAUAUGUGACUUUGGAUUAGCAAGAACUGGCAAUGACAGUGGACAAUUCAUGACUGAAUAUGUAGUCACAAGGUGGUAUCGUGCGCCAGAGUUGCUUCUUUGCUGUGACAAUUACGGGACCUCUAUUGACGUCUGGUCUGUAGGGUGCAUCUUUGCUGAAAUCCUUGGCAGGAAACCAAUAUUCCCAGGAACAGAGUGCCUCAAUCAGCUUAAACUUAUCAUUGAUGUCCUUGGCAGCCAAACUGAAGCCAAUCUUGCAUUCAUUGAUAAUCUGAGGGCUAAAAAAUUCAUAAUGUCACUUCCUUGUUCAAGAGGGGUUAACUUUGCUUCUCUCUACCCCCAUGCUGAUCCUUUGGCCAUAGAUUUGUUACAGCGGAUGCUAGUUUUUGAUCCAUCGAGGAGAAUCACAGUGACAGAAGCUCUUUAUCAUCCAUAUUUGUCAGGUCUCUAUGAUCCAAGUCGCAACCCUCCUGCUCAGUUUCCUCUCAGUCUUGAUGUUGAUGAGAACAUGAGCGAAACAAUGAUCCGCGAGACGAUGUUGAGAGAGAUCCUUCUUUACCAUCCGCCACAAGUUACUUACACGAACACGAACACGGUGAUAAAUUUUUAAUUUGAGAAGCAUUUCUUUGGCACUAGACCUUUGGAAAAAGCAUAAAAGUUGUGGGGAAGGAAAGAAAGAACAAAAAGUACCAAUACAUUAUUAGUACACAAGUAUUGUUUUAGAAUCAUACUUGUUCUGUACCAAGCCUUGGAUACUUCUUUUUGAUUGCAUCAAUUUAUUAUUUAAGCCCGAAGGGGAAAAGGGACAGUGCAGUGGCAGUGAUAUAGCAGUUGAAUCCGAGCAAUUUGCCUGGAGAGUGGUGACUUCAAUCGCUCGACUCUUGGGCCAACCCUUGCUCCUCUAAGCUCUGAAUAUUUUGAUUAGUCCAGAAAUUUUUGAUCUAUGCGUUCUUUUAGUUUGAGAUCACUGCAGAAGUAGCAGCAUAUCAGAACCUAUAAGAGCAGUAGCUUCACACAUCAUUCCUUGAUGGAGAAACGGUCUUAUCUCAAAAUUAGUCCAUUAAUAAUCUUAAGAGUCGGCUUUUUUCCCCCUCCCUCCCCAUUAAUAAUCACAAGUGGUGGGCAUCUUUGAGGGAAUAUUAUGAUCAUCGAAGCAUAAAGCAGCAGCAGCAGCUAUAAAAGGCGACAGAAUACGUCAGUAUUAACUCAAACUAGUGGAUCUCCACUACAGUCUGACACAACGAAAGAGAUGCAUCAAUCGAGUCUGACAGGGAAAUCACAAAUUUUAAAAAGAUACAACAAUUUGCAGGGAAGUAUCUUAUCAUUAUGCAAAGCUAUAAAUUGAUCAAGCUCUUCUCUUAUUUGCUCGGUGUGGAAUAGUCAAUGAACACAAGCUUGUAUCUUUCUCCAAAAGCCCAAUCAAGAAAAUAUACAACACACACACACACACACACAUAUAUUACAUAUAGCUAAACUAAAAGCUGGCAAGCCAUCCAUCCAUGAAGGUGAAUGAAGUUUCUAUCUUCUUUCCUCUAACGUACAUCAGGGGCCCUUCGCCCAUAAUGUACGGUUGUCCGGCACGCACGAGAAGAAAUUAGAGAGUCUAGAAACACGUUUUGCCGGAAGCCUCCGCUAAUUGUUUCCACGUUGUCAUUUGGGACUCAUAAUGGGUCUGUUUAGAUAAACUAGAUUUUUUUCUUCCAAAUAUUAUUCAACUUGUGUCGUAUUUUUUUAAAGGCACACGUUAAAAUAUAUUUCAGAUAAAUUAUUUUUUUAUUUUAUAUAUAUAUAUAUUAUAUCAUAAAAAAUACUACGUUGUCAAUCUAAAUAAUUUUUUUUUUCAAAUUAUCUUUUAUCUAAACAUACCCGUUGCUUUUGCCCCGCUCCUAGUGUUCCGCUCCUAGUGUUCAAGUGUCGCAGGAUUGAAUAAAGAUGUUUUACCUAAAACCAUGGAUGCAUGAUACAGCCACUUCAACUUUGCCCAUGUCAGCUCAAUUUUCCACUAGUUGCUUUUUUUUUUUAAACAACUUUUUUUGUUUUUCUUUUUCUUUAAUCAAGAAGUGAAGAUUGGUUUUCUUACUCUGUUGUCUCCUAUGCGUAAUACGUGUUAGGAGAAAGCAAGAGAAAAAGUAAAUUUAAAAAACGUUAAACAAUAAUAAUAAUAUUGCUUAGCUUCUUAAACAUGACUUUGAUGAAUAAUAUAUAUUUUAUUUAUCAGACGUAAAACAUUUACGUACUACAACAUUCUUAAAUGCGGUCAAAAGUAAUUAAACCUCGUGCAUGGAUAAUGUAUAUCGCGUUCCACGGGAUGGAGAAUCCCUUUAGGCUUUAACCCCUGGAAGUUAAGUCAAAAGUCAAAAAAGAUGAACGAGGAAAAAUGGCCGAGCCAGCUUUGAAGUUGAUUGACAGUUGCUAAUAGAGGCCAAGUCAGAGUGAAGGUUCCCAUUUUCUGCGAUUUCCCUGUUCAAGCUGCACGGGAUAGGCUCCAGCGCCGCCGCCCCUUAUCCAAAUAUCCACCCAUUUGAUACAAUUGAAGCUUUAGCCACCAAACAACGUGCGGAAAAAAAAAAUAGCAAAUUUUUCCUUCCAAACGGAUCAGUCUACCUAUCAUGUGUCAACUAUUCUCUCACUAUUUCAACUGCUAAAAACCAAACAAAAGUUUCUUGAUACAUUUUCUAUUGGCACCAUCCCAAAAAAAGAAAAAAUUUUUUUUUUUGUUUUUUUCUGUAUUGUGGAAUUUAGAUACUACUCCACGAUAAAAGUAUAUUUGAAGAGAGGGAAGACUAGUAAGUGAUUGACAAUUCUAAUUAAGUCGGUAUGAGUAGCGCAAUUUGCUUUUGUCUUCACUUUUUCAGGUAAAAAGUAGUGAUUGAUGGCUGAUUUCUCUAAUUCAGAAGUAAUAGUACUAAAUUGGUAGUUUAAAUCAUAGUGAGGAUGGCCAGCUGGCCUCUGAGCCGUCACUUUAUGCUUCUCAAUGGGCCUAAAAAUGUGUAUAAAUUCCACAGCCAAAUUCUCCUUCCUUCCUCCCUCCCUCCACCUCCCUUCCUUCCUCAUUUCUUUUUGCAUUUAGCUUUGUGAGGUUCGGCCUCUGCCUCUCCCUAAUUUUCUGUUCCUCCAGGUUCUGAAACUCCCAGCUUCCACAAAGCCCGAAUAUUUCUUUUUCCCCUUGAUCCUCUACCCGAACAUUCAUGCGGCAACAGGCGUUUAUUCUCUAACCUUUGACAUUCAUGUCUCCUGUACUCAGCGAAGUCCUCCUCUCCGGUUUCACAAUCAGCUCCACCCUCCGCCGUACCCACUUGAUGCAAUCUUUCUCUGUUGUAUUCCUCUACUGGUUCUAUGUUUUCUCAUGAACUCAUAAAACCAUCAUAUUUACAUUAUUUUCAUUGACCAAAAGACUUCUUUGUCGUAAGUUCAUUAUCCAUAUAAUACUCCUACCCUUUAUUAUUUGCUUAUCUAAAAGACUGCAGAGUAGUAUUUUGCAAGAGAUUUUGUACUUUUUGGCAUAUAUUUUGCGCCAUGUCUUGUACCAGCGGAAAUUCAUCAGGGCCAAGCCAGAUUCAGAAUUCGGGGUCCGAUGAAGAUCCCCAACAAAUUAUGGACCUAAGAAAACGCAAAAGAAUGAUAUCCAACCGGGAAUCUGCUAGGCGAUCAAGGAUGAAGAAACAGAAGCACUUGGAUGAUAUGAUGGCCCAGGUGAAUCAAGUGAAGAACGAGAAUAAUCAAAUUCUCACCAAUAUCAACCUUACAAAUCAGCUUUAUCUGAACAUUGAAUCUGAAAAUUCUGUCCUAAGAGCUCAGCUGGCUGAACUCAGCCACAGGCUACAGUCCCUCAAUGAUAUCAUUAACUGCUUGAAUGCUACAACGAAUUCACCAGUUCUUGAAACACAGGACUCUGCUUUUGAUUAUCAGAUGAUGAGUGCUUUUGAUCAUGAUUUCUUCAACCCCUGGAAUUUACUCAGUGUAAAUCAGCCCAUCAUGGCUUCUCCAGAUGUUCUCAUGUACUGAUUCCUUCGGAGAAGUGAUCCAUUGCUUCGGUGUUUGGCUUGCUGAUGAUCGGGGUUGUAGACUUCUGGGUGCUUAGUGAAAUUGAACUAGAAUGUUGUCCUUGGUUUGUAAUUGAAACGAUUAUGUAUAUUAUGGUUGAUGUACUGCCAUUGCGAAUGCAAGUAAUUUUCUAAAUAUUAGAACAAAAUUCAAAGUCCAUUAUUGAGUGGAUUAGUUCAUUACCUAAUUACGUUGUUUUCGGUGUACAUCUUCAAGAAUGAUGCAAGGUUCGCACUCAUAAUAUAAUUUGUACUCCCAUCUUUUAAUCCUUUCAUAUAUGGUUCACAGAAAUUGUUCACUGAGUGCGAUGUGGAGAAUUUACAAUUAGUACUUUAGCAGCAAAAAAAAGGGUAUAUAUAUUGGAAGCUAAAAUAAAAGGAGUAUAUGUCAAAGGCGAUUUGUGUUGCUGAGGACGCCAAUGAGAAAAUUUUAAUUAUUUGAUGAUGACAUAUGUUUUAUCUACACAUUCAACUACCACUUUAGGUAAGGAUUAAGAUUAGUGGACAAACUGAUGUACCAAUAAACUACUGGCAGAAUUAGUGGGCGGACCAACAUAUAUUUCCAUUCAUGAACUAUACAUAUAUGGGCUGUUUGGCCGGGGCAGAAAAGAUUUGUUUAAAAAAAAUACUACCUCAAAUGAUGACAUCAUCUUGUAUUGUUUGGUAAUCACAAACCGACAGAUGCAUUUGACCUAACAAGUAGAAUUAUUAGUAUUAUACAAUUGUUGAAAGGAAGACAUCUUAAUCGCAUUAUGCGUGGAAAGUUAAUACAAGACUCGCAUAAUGCUCUGCCUCUAAUUGUUAAUAUUUUAGUUAAGCCAUGACCUCAAGGCUAAGGACAAAAUCUAUGAGUUUUCGUUAAUGUUUUGAAAAAUAACUAAAAUAUAAAAAGAGGUUAACAAAUCAAUAAUGUCAUCUCUUCUACACGAAAGAGAUGAAUACAAACCGCCUCGGUCGGAUGCUUAUUCAUUCUUUAAUCCGUUCUCCGUUCCACAGGACUCAAAUCAAUCUAAGAUUCCUUGAGAAAAUUAUUGAGCGCCCCCCCCCCCCCCCAACACACAACACAAACAGAACUUAAAAAGAAAUCGAUCAGAAGUUUCUUGAUUAAAGAACUUAAAGAGUAGAAUUAUUAGUAGUGAAAGAGAAGAAACACGUUGAGGUCGCAAUCCGACGUCUCUGUUAUUCUUAUCAGUUCCAUGUUGUUUUCACCUGUCUUUGAAAGAACAAAUAAAUGAACUGCAAGGCGCACCGAAUCAGCAAAAUCACUUUCUAGCCCAGAUUAAAGAAACCCCCAUUAGACUCUCAGACUCACUGUUGCAUGCAUGCCAGAUCGAGCAUAUCCACCUAUUGAAUUGAACCCUUUUAAGAGUUGUUCUGAUGUCACAAUUUUAUGUAGAAAGUAGGAUUCCACUCUUCAAGAUUCAAUGAAAAUCUCAAUUUCACAAUAGACGGACGAGAUUCAUAAAUUUUCAAGUCUUAAAAGGUUGAACAGAGAUGCUUCUGGUGCUUGUCUACUAACUAAAGAAUGCUAGAUCAACUCUACAGAACAAAAUGCAGUUACACGCUAUCUGUUCUGCACAGACAUUUGAUCUCUAUGUGAUUCAUAUUAAACCAGUCGAAUCCUUUUCUCUGGCUAUUGAAUAAAAUGAUGAUAUACGUACAAAAUUACUGGCAUUGAUUUUGCCAGCUGUUGGGCUUCAUCAGUUGAGUUAAUCUGGUAUCGACUUGACCAAACUUUGCCAGCAGUAUGAGCAGCUCAGCAUCAGGACCUUCUUGAUUUGUUUUCUAUUGAUUAGUGCAUCAGCACUAGGACCAGGGGGAAAAAGUAUGUUGGAGAGAUGCACGGAAAGAAAAAAUUAUUUGCAUGUUGUUUUACUUUGGCAUAGCCGUACGUGGUUUAAUUUUGCAGCCUGUUUUUUUUUUUUUUUUUAAAAAAAGAGUUAGGUCGACAAGUUUUCAAACUUCAACCAGACAUUGCUGUACCAUGUGGCCAACCCUUUUCGAGAGGACGCCCACAUGAUUUGAUCAGAAGAAAGAAAAACAAAAGUUGGUUUGUCUGUGGAGUCCUUGAGUGGGAAGUUAAUGGGUUUCGACUAAGCCAACCGACGCCAAAAAUUGGCUUGCUUAGGCUGCUCACUAUUGUAACUCCAUGGCUUUAUAUUAUUCAUGGAGAAUUGGCACGAGGAGUGGAAUUUUCUCCAUUUCCUUCCACCUACAGAAAUCUGGCAAACAGUUUUUCCCAUCAUAUUAAAUCUUUCCGUUCAACCCAAAGACCAAAAGAGCAAAACAAGUACUCUACAACCAAUCAAUAGUCGGUGUGGAGUGGAGUGGGACUUCCUCUCCCGCGCCGUAGGGAUUAGUCGGAUCCCGUAAGAAUUGAUCCGAACACCCCUGUGUCGACAAAAAAAAAAAAAAGUACUCUACAACCAAUCAAACUAUUAAUCAAUAGUAUAAUUUUUAUUUGAUUUCUCCUUCGAUCUGUAUAUGCAUCAAGGUAUUAAAAUCGCGACACCCGUAAUUGACACGAGACAGCAACCACGUCUGAUUGAAUUUACCAUGUGUGCCCGAAUUGUAGCAUGUUCAUUGAAUUGGUUCUCGAUCAUGAGUAUGGGAAUUUGUAAAUUACAUAUUCAUCUAUCUUUAGUACAAAAACAUGCUUUUGACCAAAAAGAAAAAGUAUAAAAGCAUGCACCCUAUUAGAAAUCAAGUUUAAGCAUUUUCUUUUUUCCUUUUUUGUUUUGAGUACAUCAAAACUUAAGUUUAGAAUGCAAAAAUCUUAAGGCUACUCAAUAAGUUAUUGGUGCUUAGUCAAUUUUUAUAGUUUGAUCACUUCACGUUUGGAUUGCUAUUUAUAGGAAUUUUUGUAGAAAAAUGUAUCGUAAUGAUUUGAUGCAUGUACAGUAAAAAAAUGAACGAAAAAUGUGUUCUCGAAAAAUAUAAUUUUUUUUUGCAAAAAACCACAAUCCAAACAUAGAUAUCCUUUAUUUUUUAAGAUAAAGUUUGGGUGAGUUUAACUCUGGUCACCACCAUAAGCAUAGGAUACACUCUUUUGUAAGAAAAUGAUCCGUUCUUAUCAAUUGAAUUAACUUGUGUUGGCUUAAAAAAAAAAGAAGAAUUCCUCUCUUAGCAUGUUCAAUGUUUAAUUGUUUAAGUACCAAAUGCAAGCAGCAGGACAGACGUGCAUCAAGUCAUCAAAAUUUACAUGCAUAAAUUGUUUGGGAGGAUUGAAGGCAAAUAUUUUCGUCAAUAGUACAUUUAUAAUUUUUUUGAAUAGCUUUUUUUCAUGCAUUGUCAGUGUAUAAUUUUUUUACAUUAACAAAUUUAAAUCAUAUCGCAUAACAUGAAUAAUUCAAAUCAUGCACAUGUAGCAUGCAUCCAAAGUUGCUAGUGUAAAAAAAUUACUACAUUGUCAAUGCAUAAAAAGUUAAUUCUUUUUUUUAAUUAAUUGAAAUUUCACGUUUCAACCACGUAAUAGGCUCAUAUUCUAUUGACAAAAUAGGGAAACUGGCCGGGCAACUUCUUGAAUGUAAGAUACGAUCCUCUUGUAUUGGCCCCAAACUACUCCGUGCCCAAUGGGCAUAUCACCGAUGGGCGGUGGCCCAAUAAGAGCUCUUAAGUUGCCGCCAAAUCCCUGAACUUUUCCUCUAAAUCCCAAAAAUGUCCUCAUCCCCAUCCUCAGAGCUUCCCCUUCACCCCUCCCAAAACCCUAGCAACUGGCGCUUCACAUGGGAGGCCCAAUCUCACAUCCCAACCGUCCGAUUAUAUCUCUUCAACCCCCACAUCAAACCCUCAGCUCAAUGCAUCAACUUAGAGGUCGACUUAUCAGUGGACCAGUCUUCACUCCUCGUCAGAUUCUACCAAGCAGAAGCCGAAGCCGAAGCCGAAGCCUGCACUUCAUUUCGGGUCCCGCUCCCUAGAGUUUUAAUCGACCCGGAGUCACCGGUUCAGUUCACAGCUUAUGAUGAUCAUAUUCAUGUUAAACUCGCUCUGCUUCUUCCCAUUGAUCAUCCUCUUGUUUCGCAAUUUGAUUCCUCGUCUGAUGAGUACCGGCCACUUUCCACCGAUUCCGGUGAGCUUAUAACCAAUCACUUAAGAUGGAAUCUUUUUAUUCUUUUUGAUAUUUCUAUUCGCUUAUGAAUGAUUUGCUGUUUAGGAGCAUUUGUCAUUUGGUUUUAAAUUUGUUUGUGAAUAUGUUUUAUUCUUUUUUGGAACAAAUGUGGCAAUGUCGCUGGUAUUUUGCUUUCAAGAUGGAUGGUGGAUGAUUUGACCUUCACUGCGCAUAAAGCUGUGACAUUUACUUUUGAACAGGUCAUUUUGCGAUGAAUAAUUGCUUGACUAAAUGAUGUGUGAGCUGAAAUAUCUUUUAGCUUACCAUUGUCCUUCCUUUGCAAUCUGGAAGAAAGAAUAUGGAAUUGCUCGUGCUUCUAGUGUCUGCAACAUGAGUUCACUUGGCUUUCAAGUUUUAAGGGCAAGUUGGGUACAGAUUGGGAACCCGUGAUUAUACAAUUUUCCUUUUUGUCUAGAAGUCUUUUCUUUUUUGGGCACUUAUUCAAACACUGACCCAACCUUUUGGUUUUAUUUAUUUAUUUAAUUUUUAUUCAAGUUGUAGUAAUCAUGCACAAGCUAAAUUGUCAGUCAUACUUGUCAAGUUGAUUUAGGUGGAGCUACAGAGUGGAGAAUGUUAUUCGAUUUGUAGUUAGAAUUAGGCUGAGGAUAUUGUACACACGGGUGGGUGGAAAAAAGUUUGUGACAUUUGAUAUUUGUUUCUCUUGUGAAGGAAAAAUGGUUGUGUUUAAGUUUAAAUCACCGUAUCACUUUUUCUUUGUCUAUUUCAUUUUGAAGAUGACGAGCUAACAUGUUUUAGCUUAAUAUUUCUGUCUUUCCUUUCAUGGCAUCUAAGAGGUAUCUUUGGAAGCUCAAAUAUUGUAUCUUGUCAAUCUGUGAUGAAUCUUUUUGUUUCCAUUUAAUUUUUUCCUUUUUUAAAAUUUCGUUUGGUAUUUGUAAUCCAAGUGUAUUCCUAGUAAUUAUGGUUGUUCGUUUAGAUCUAAAGAAUUUAUCUGCUUUGGAGGAAGUGUACUUUUACUGCAGAAGUUGCUCAGCUAAGUUGACAAGAUCUCUCAGGUAGAUUCUACUUCGAACAUUUUUGGAGGAAAUACCAAAAUCCUCAUGGGUGCUGAUUCUUUCUUCUAUAAAUAUUGCAUUUUCAUGUAUGAGACAUUUAUGAUUUCUAGAACAUUUUUGCCCCCCCCCCUCCCCUCCUUCCCCUUUUUUCCCCUGAAUCACUGGCAAUCUCUUCUUUGCCAGUUAAGUCCUGUACUCUUCUUGUGGAAGGGUUACCUCACCUCCUUUCAUGGUACGGCCCGGUAGACGGCUAGAUUUACCAUUGGCUUGGAAGACCUAUAGAACCUACAUUCAGUUUGUUCUUUCUUUUCCUGAACAAAUAGAUGGAAUCCUACCUUGUUCAUUGGGAAUUUAUUUUACUCUUUCUUAGAUUUUAUUACAAUUGUUUUAUGCAUUAAAGGAUGUCCUUUUCUUGGCUGAACUUUCCAAAUUAUAUAGAUGUUUCAAGGAGAUGCCAUCAGUCAAUUGGCAAGAAGCAGCAGACAAUUGGUUUGGGGCUUGUUGUUGUUCAUUUGGAGGUAUCAGUGAGAAGCUGGUUAGAAGUUAUGCAAAGUCCUAUACAUGUGCAGCAGGUGUUUGUCUCUUAGAUACAGAAUCUGUCAUUUUGUGCAAGGACGAUCUUGUGGGAUGUGAAUUUCCUGGAUUUAAUUGGAACCAAAGUGUUGAGUUUAAUCUGAAAUUGACUACUGACGAUAUUUUGGUCAAAGCUUCCUCAGAUGAUGCAAGUAAACAUGGGCAAACUGUCUGCUCUGAGAAUGAUGACUUUGGGAGGGAGGUCAGCAAUGGCAAGGAACAUCAUCUUGGUUCUGAGGAAGAAAACCUCAAAGAGAAACUGAGGCAUGAAGCUACUGGAAAUGCUGGUGAUUGUGGUAACUUAUCUUGCCUGUCUUCACACUUACAGACUGCAGAAAACAUGGCAACUUGUCCUGACUUCCAUGCAGUUAUGAAACAUGAUCUUGGGUACUGUGAUAAUGGAUGUCAUAGUCUUGAUCGUUUAGAAAUCUCUUCAGAGGAAAAAUCUGGAAGGGAUAUUGAACUCCUAGAGCAUCAGAAAGUAUUACUUAAUGGCUUUCUUUGGAAUGGUUUCCUGGCAAGAUCCUCCAAUCUUUCAAAAGAUGUUAGGUGGGUCGAAUUCUUGUGUCCUCAAUGUUCUUCCCUACUUGGAGCAUACCCUUGCUUCAGUGAUAGUAGUCCAUUGGACAGUGGAAUUCGCUUGUUUAAAUGCCACAUUUCAACCACUUUACCUGUUGGUGGCUCCGGUAAUACGUUUAGGUAAAAGACUUCUAUUUAUGAUUGCUAUCACAAGAAGUGUUGUAAGUUUUGUGCUUGUGACAGUUAUGAUCAUUUAUUUGUUUUUCAAUUGUGGAAGGACACAUACCCAAUGCUCUUAUAAGAUGUAUAAGAGUAGGUCUUAGAAGGAGAAAGUCAUCUUUCAUAAGUUGUUUAUUUGUAAGUGGGUCUGUUAGUAUGGCUCUGAUGAUAUGCUGUGGAUACUUUGAUUUCUUUUGGGUUUGACAUUUUAGGAAAUAAAUCCUAAAUCCAUCAAAGAAAACGACUUCUAUCCUUUUUUUUCCCAAAAAAGGAAGGAAGUCAUUCAUUGGAAAUAAGAAAAGAAAAUAUUGCUAUGGCUUUAAACACUGGCUAUUGGUAGUGUCACUAUGCCUCUUCCUCCAAUUGGUUAGUUUACACUAAAACAUCUUCAGCGCUCUUUCACUUUAGUUAGUUGGCCAGCAGAACUGGGUGUUACAUUAUAUUGGGAUACUUUCGCCUGUUAUAUUAUGUGUUCAGCAUCAUGAAGGGAAUAAAGCAUGCAAGUGAUGUUGGUUAAUUAACUAUUUACUCUUCUUCAGUAUGUUGGAACCUUUCCUAAUGUCCUUUAUUAUUUUUAAUUAAAUCUUUCUUGGUCUGAAUUUUGCAAAGUUCAAUUUUGUGCAGAUGUUAUAGCUUGGAGAGGAUGUUUGCAAUUCAGUUGCUGGAAAGUGCAAAAGAUGAAUUAUCAUUCCGGACUGUUGUGAGAGAUAUGCAAACCAAAUAUCCUAUGCUGCAAAUUGUUCUGUUGAACCCGGAUUCUUGGUGCUGCAGUGGAUGUUGUUUGUACUCCACUGAAUCAGCUUCAAGGAAAAGCAUGUAUCCAACCAUCAAGGUGCUAUUUUCUGCCUGCUGCAAUGAUGAGGAAAACGAGUCUAGGUCAGUUAUUCAAAUGCAUUUGAUCUAUUUCGUGCAUAUAUUAAGGCAUUGUUUGUCCACCAGUUGACAGCAGAGUAAGUGUCAAUAGGGUAAUAUAGCGAAGUGGUCUUCAAUGUACAAUAAUUAGUCAUCUGAUUAAAUUUCGACGUGGCUGGAAUGUGUUAUCAUACUUUUCCCAGGGGCCUUUCUUCUUUGAGGAGCAAAUGCAUCUAUGAUUGAUUUUAUGGAUUGGCUCUAGAAAGAUUCUGUAAUGGUCACUGCUUAAACACAGCUUAAUAGCAAUCUGUUUUUCCGAUUUUGACUCUAUCCAGAAUUUAUUUGGCCAUGGUUGAAUCAUGUGCAGGAAGCUUGAAGAAUGGAUUACCAAGAAUCAAGCAGAUGAAGUGUACAUGUUGCCAUCUCAAAUAGGAAACUUGAUUUCCUAUUUAAAGUCGGCUAAUAGUAUGUACCCUCCAUCACAAGUUCCCCUGCAGAAUCUGUCCCUGUCAUCCAUGAGAAGAUAAACAAGAUACGGGAGAUUUUGAUCUCCAACAAAAUCUUAUUGUGGUCGGUUUGCAUGAGGAGGAUCUGAAAUCCCAAAGAAGGCUCAGAUUUUUAAUCUUGCAAGUUCUAUAGAAUUGUACGCAAUUUCAAGUUGCCAGAUUACUAGGGGGCUGAUCUGGCUGUCAUUCUGUUCCAUGACCAGAGGUUUAAAAAUCUCCCUCCGACUAUGCACGCUCUUUCAAGAGGAAAAAGAAGCGUCUAGGAUAUUGAAACUUACAGUUCAUCAUGGCAGUGCCAGUACGAUUAUAACACCUACCAUUAGAGGCAUUUGAAGCGUAACUGGUGCCCUUGCCCGACAGAGAGGGUGGAAAAUUAGGGGUUGCAAUGGUAUGCGGAGCCCGCAACUUACGAGGUAUGGGAUUCUGUGAUCGAGUCAACAACGACGAGACGCAGUCCCUGCAUACAUGAAUUUCCCUUUGUUCUUUGGUGGGACUGGUAUAUAUGUUUGCUUUGUUCUUUGGUGGAAAAUAAAAAGCUAUUAUUCCAAAAGAAAAAAAGUAAAUUAUGCUGUCUAAUUGGUGAUAUGUUCUUUGAAAAUUAUUUCGUGGCAAUCAUUUUGUCUCGGAGGAUAUUUUGAAUGCUAACAAAUAUUUUGGCUAUUAACCUUCUCUGUUUGCUGAUUACUUGAAAUUUACAACUGCAAUAAAGCCAUACAACUAACCACAAAAACAACCAACCAUCUUAAGCUUUAAAAAACUUCAUAAGAGAAACCAUAAAUCUAAACUUAAGACACUACAUAAGAGUAAAAGAGAAGAACUAAAAAUCAUCAUGCAUAAUUUAAGAACUACAAGGAAAAGUAAAAGAGAAGACACACUAAUGAUAACCGCUAGGGGUGGGCACGGGUCGGGUACCCGCCCCUAACAUGAUUUGGCUGACCCGACCCUAAUAUAUCGGAUCAGCCAUUUUGCGACCCUAACCUGCUCCUAAUAUUUUCGGGUACCCGAAAAAAAGGGGCGGGUCAUAGGGUACCCGCCCCUAAAAAAAACUAUUUUUCAAUAAAAAAAAUUAUUUUCUACUUAAUAUCAACAUAUUUUUCAAUAAAAAAACAUGCUUUUCCAAUUAAUAUUGGUAGAGAUAUUGUAAUUAAAGUCCAUACAUCACCAUUUUCACACAUUUCAUCCAAUAAUCAAAUCAAUCUCAUAAAUUUAGUACAUAUUAGAAUAUCUAAUGGACAAAACGAAGUUUCAUAAUAAUUUUGAGUACAUCACCAUUUUCACACAUUUCAUACUUCUACAACACAACAAACACAAGGAUAAUAAGUAUUUGGUAACUUCCCCAAGGAUAUUAUGGUACAAGACCGCAUCUCAAAUAAGUCAAUUGUGAAAUCAAGUUCGGAAAAGAAUUGAAUAGAACUAAUUAUUUUUGAAAAAAAUAUAACCAAAAUAAUGUUAAAAAUCUUCCCCAACUUCUUUACAUCUUUGGAAUAGACCUUAUGGUAUUAAGGUGAUGAAAAAGAAAAAUAAAUUUCUUGCACUAAAUAAAAGAGACAAAUUUAAGAGAUAUAAUUGCAAAUGAAUGACACAAAUAUUUUAAUUAUCUAGCUAACAGAAAAUUGAGACUCCAAACAAAAAUCUUUGAUUGAAUUGAUGCAAGAUUUGCAGGAAAGAUCGAUGGAGAUAGAAUAAAAAUAAAAAAGAUGAAAGGGAUGAACAAUUUUUAUAACAGAGUUUCACAAAUUUUUUUUUUCAUUUUGUUCAUGUUUCACCGAGAAUAUUCACUUUCUUCAAAAAAAAUGAGAAGAGUAGAUCAUAUAGGAUUAGAAUAUGAGGCUGCGAGCCACUUCACUUGCACUUAGGAUUAAAAAUUACAAAAUUAUAAAAUGAUCCCUACUUUUUAAAUAUUUAUAAAAUAUACCCUGCGGGUCGGGUACCCGCGGGUUUUUAUUUUUCUGAUCCGUAUCCGUACCCGAUUUUUCGGGUACCCGACCCUCAUCUGCCCCGCUAAGAAAAAUCGGAUCGGGUAUCCUAUUUUUCGGAUCGGAUCGGAUCGGGUUCAUCGGGUUUUCGGAUCGGCGGGUUUUUUUGCCCACCCCUAAUAACCGCACUUGAAAAGGAAAAAAAAAAAAAAACACGCGUGCACUACUAAACGUGCUUUUCUGCGACUUUUUGAAUUAUUCACUACUUGAAAAAUUGAUAGGAACUUUAUUAGUGGAAUUGACCACUAAAAUUCUUACAUUUUGACUGCAGAAGAAACAAAGGAAGUUCUUGUAUUAAUCCAGAAGGAAUGACUAAUUCUUUCGUAAAGGUGAAUGACACCUAUGUAACAGACGAAGAAUACAACUUGUAUUAAUGGAUUCUUUGGACAAAGCUUAUAGAAUUUGCAUACGCUUUAACAAGUCAAAUAUAUCUGCCAUUGGACUUUAUGCUUCCUCUUUUUGAGAGGUCAAAAGCCACAAAGUAUAAAAAGAAGAAUAUAAUGUCACAAGAGUGGAGAAGAAUGCAUUGUCGUAGUAUCAGCUGGAGGCAUUAAAAUCGCAGAAAUAAAUUUCAUGCAAGAAAUCCUUUUAGCAAGAUGUUGUGUCGACUGAACUUUAUCCACCUUCCGAAAGUGGCUACAUGAAUGGGCUCAUAGCAAUUAUUUUAAGCUUUAAAGAUCAUGGCCUUGAAAUUGAAUGGGUGAUGACAGUAGAUUUUCGGUUUCUUGGAAUAAAAUCAACAUUAGUGGUUGAAUUAUUUGAACUUGAUUCCAAAUUCUAUACGUUUUUUUGGACACGAUUCUUUUUCCCCAAAUGAGUAAACUUUACUUAAAUUUUCUAGAAAUAAAAAGUAGAAUUUAUUUUAUUUUAUUUUAACAAUGAAAAGAGGUCUUGGUUUUUUUUUUUUUUUGAGAAACCAAUUGCUCAACCAUCACAUUGCAUAUUAUUAAUAGCUUCCUAAAACCGUAAACCUAACCUAUAAUCCAUAUGAUUUGAUAUUUUGUUCAGAUUGAGCCACACCAUUACGUAUCUGAUCCCAGACAACCCACCAUGCAUGUAUUGCUCAAUCCUAAUGAAUCUGGGUACUCUAAUAAGUGUAGGACUUGGAGUUUUAUUAUUGAAACGUUAUCAUGUUUUUAAUUUUUGCUAAUAAAUACGAAGUGCUGGCAAACCAGUAUAUUUACCAAGAAUCAGAAUACCAUAAUGCCUCUCAUUUCACAAUUUUAUACUCGUGUCUUUCUUUUGAUCUUUAAUUGACUAAUUGAUUAGUGAAAUGUAUAUAGAUUGUCUCACGUGCUUUUUCCGAAUGUCUCUCAACGAGUCGGAUAGAGGUAUAUUCAUGAUGGAUUUAAAGAUUAAAAGGAAUGAUUGAACUUGGCUUGUGUUUAAUAAUUUUUUGAAAGAAUUUAAUUGAAUUUGGUUUGAAAUUUCAGAUAUAUAUUCACAAAAAGUUUGGCUUGACUUAUCAAAAUAUCGAGUUCAAAUACAUACAAUCAAAGCUUGGCUUGUCUUGAAAUUUCAUAUUAUAUUAUAUAGAGAUUUUCACCCUAAUUUGUUGCUUUUUUUUUUCCCUUAUUUUUUGCCCUAUGAUAUUCAAGAAAUCUAUUACAAUGAAUUAGUGAUGUGAUUAAAGUUAAUUAUGCCUAUUUAAAAAAUCUAUUACGAUGAGUUAUGGAAGUGAUCAAAAUCAAUUAUACCUAUUCAAGAGAUAAGAGUAGUAUAUCUAUUCAAAAGACAGCUAUAUUUUAUAAGACAAGUAAUAUACGGGAAGGAAAGAAGUGGGGUUAAAAGUAUUAUAUGCUUGCUAUAAAGAUAAGAUAAGCAAUAUAUAGGAAGGAAAGGAGUGGAGUUAAGAAAGAAAACUUUAUAUAUAUUUUUAUCAAAUUUGCUUGCCGUAAAUGUUUAUGAACACAUCGAGCUGGACAACGUUUCCCACCCUGAAUAGAUGAAAGCUUAUACCAUCCCACUCUUUUUAAUUUGAUUAAUCAGCUGGAUUCUAAUAUUUUAGUAGGAUGUAAUAAAUUUUUUUUUUUUACCUAGACUAGGUUGCUAAAGAUCGUACAGAGUAGUACAAGUAGGUUAACCAAUUUCCCAUGAUCAUUAAAUAUUUGACCAAUUUAGUAGGUAAAGAACAAGAUUCAACCAAAGUUAAGCUCAAGGCUCACUUAACUAGUAUUCUAUACCAUGUAGAAAUAAAAUUUACUUCUCCAUUCAAUUAAAAAUAUGAACUUUCAUGCAUGCUUAUUGUUAUAAUUAUGACAAGUGUCACUUAAAUUUUGGUAACACCAUAAAAAUGGCCGCUAUAGCAUAAAAAUAUUUAAAAAAAUGGUCGUACAGUUAACAAAAAUUCAAUCUAUUUUUCUCAAUCAUUUGCAAAUUUAUGAUUUUUUUUUUGGCCUUCUUCUCUAAUUGGCUGUGAUUUGUACUCAUUGUAUUUAGUUCCCAUAUUGAAAGUCAAAAAAAAGGAUAAGGGCAUAAAAGAAAUAAGGAUAAAUAGGUAUUUCAGAUUUUAUGAACUAAUAAGGGCAUAAAGAGGAUAAGAAAAUUUAACACCACAAAAGUAAAAAUACUAAACGAUACUCAGAAUGUGUUUGGUUUGCAUUCCAAAAUCACAGUCAUAAAUCUUUCAUCAUUUUCCAACCUUGUUGCUCCAUUUAGAACCAAGUUGGAUUUCAUUCUAGUAAUUAUUUAAUCAAUUUGAAAUCCAAGUCAUUACAAAUAUUUUUGACACCUUUUUCCCAUUAACGGAUUUCCAUAAUAUAUAGUUUAUCAAAUAAUAGAUAUAAAUAGCCUCAAGAAAACAAUAGAUAGAGGUAUCAUUAACUUCAAUGCUAAUUCCUAACUCAUUUGCCAAAAACCCCUAAAGCUAACCAUUACAAGUAUGGAUCCGUUAGGAUUACAAGCAUGGCAACCAUCCGCCUGUCUAAUGACCCUAACCAGCGCUAUAAACAACGGUCUAAUGAACCUAAAUAAAAUAGUGCUGUAAACAACGGCCUUAUCAUUUCAUUACUACUAGUAAUACUGCAAGUGCUUUGCUCGUGGUUAUAUUUUCCCAAACUUUUAUGUAUUAUUUAUAAUGGAGUAUUUUGUGAAAUAUUAAUCAUUAAAACCAUAAAAAUUUUUCUUUCCAUCAAUCAUGCAUAGGGUGUACUUCAUCCCUAUAUAUAAAGAAAGAGUGGCAAAUUAUGAUGUAUUAUUAUUCAUGCUAACACAUAUGAAGUAAAAUCUGUUGAGUUAUAAUUUUCGGAUUCAACCUUCAAGAAUGUAGCAAAAAAUUAAUUAACUUUGGCAAGAGAUUGCACAUCUUGAGUGCCAAAUACAAAACAAGAUCUGUGGAGUUAUAAUUUAUAAAUCUAACCUUCAUAAACGGUAUCAAACAUGAUAGAGUUCUGGCUAUGUAGAGAAGUUUAUCUUGAGCUUCUCCUUUACAAACCAUUAAUACAAAUUAUGGCAGUACUAUGUUGGUUCCUUUUUAUAAUUUCGCCAUAUAAAGGCAGUAGUAAUAACGUGUGCAUGAUGAUGAAACCAAAUAAACAGAUAAGACCGGGACUACGAAACCAUAUUGUCAUUUGGGUACAUUGGUGCGUUGUAUCCUUAAGGUACAUUGAACUAUAAACGGAUAUGAGUAGGUGUGUGAUAUAUUGCUACAUUGUAAAUUUCUAAUAAUAGAAAUUUUUUUUUAGUAUGUAUCCUUAAGGCACACGAUAAGCCUACAAAAUACAAACGAUGGACCAAUUUCAAAUUUUAAAUAUCAUUAUCAACCCCCAAAAUCUAGGAAACUUUAGCAAUAAAUUUUAAACUUUUCCUUAACUAAUACCUGAUCCACCCCUUAAUUAUCAUGUGUUUUAAGGGUACAAAGAAUCCUCGUAGAAAUAAUAAUAUAUGGUAUCUUAGAACGAGGGAAUGCAAAUAAUAAGCACUUAGAUAAAUUUAGAGAUAAUUACGGUCAGCAAAUUUGUAUCAUAACCAUUCAUUACACUAUUCUUCCCAUACUUUAUCUUUCAUUAAAGUUUCUAACUAUGUUUUUGGCCCAUUAUUUCUGAAUGCAUUUUGAUCUAACAAUUUAUUUUUCUGAAUGACUUCUUAAAGAUCUUAAUUUACCAAAAUUAAUAUUGUGGAUAUCUCUUAUGUUCUAAAUUAAACACGAGUUCAGCACAACCAAAAUUUACACACAAAAUAGUUUAGAUGUUUGAGAAUUAAGAGUAUUUUUCAUGCUAACCUUUCUUCUUCUUUUCCUCCUCUAUUAGAGAUGUCCUUUGAAGUGUGUGCUGGAUGGACCUGAUUGAAUCACCUUAAAAAAACAAAAAUCCAGGCACAAGCAACUUAGCCUCCUUUACACUCAAAGAACUCAAAUGUUCUUUUUGGUAUUGUUUGAAUUUUCUUUAUUAGCUUUAUAUUUAAUUGUUUGUUCACUUUAUGCCAUUUAAUUAUUGAUUUUCAAUUCUAUGGAGCUUUCCUUUUUUUUGUGGAAAGUUUUGUAGUUUCUUUUGGGCAUUCCACUAAUCUGUGUUUUUAAACUCGGACCGGAUCGGACGAUCCGACCGGUCGAACCGAGAAGUGUUUGGUCCAAGUUGUUCUUCAAAAUCGAAAGACUGAAAACCCGGACAAAAAUCGGGUUUGACCGGAAAAAAACCGGUUCAACCAGAGCAUUUUUUAAAAAAAGGUUAAACUUUUUCAAUAUUAUGUUUUGACCCCUAAAUUUUUAAAACUUAUUAAUAUACCUCAAAUAUUUCAUACUUUAUAAAUGUUGUCCUAAAAUUUGAUGUUAUUUUUCAAUCAAAUCCAUAAUUUUAAUUCUAAACUUAUUAAUGUUCAUUAAAUAAUAUAAAUUGCUACUUGACUGUUCUAAUUUCUUUGUAUUUUCUUGUUAAAUAUAUUUGAAACAUCAAAUAUAUAUGAAUGUACCUUUAUUAAUAUUAACAUACUUUUAGGUAUUUUAUAUACAAUAUUUUAAUUUUAAAUAAUUUUUAUUUAUGACAUCAUCCGGUUCAACCCCGAUCGAAGCCGGUCGAACCCAUUGACCCCUGACCCCUGAGUUUGGCCGAGUCGAUAUCCGGUCCGAGUCUGAAAACAUAGCCACUAAUGAGAUUAAAUUUGCCAUUGGAUAUAGAAUAAGAAUUAUCAACCCUUAAAUUACUUCAAGAGUCUAAAUCACUGAAUGAUGCGACAAGAUAUAAAAGGAUUUGAAUAAUGGGUACUGUAUCCAAGAGGAACUGUAAUAUUUUCCUUUUUUUAGCUUAUUUGCUUGUUCUUCAUAAUGAAUUUUAAUUAUUGCAUUGUGUUAUUUCAUUUAUGCAUAACUUUUUAUUAUAACAAUUAAUAACAUGAUUGAUAUUCAUUCCCUCAUCAUUAUUGAAAUGCAUUAUAAUUAUUCUAUAGAGGGUAGUUUAGGUAUUACAAAAAGUAAGACAAAAUCUGUUUACACUACCUAUACUUCUAGACCCAUGAUACUUUUACAGGGAGUAUAGACAGAGUCGUGGCUUUCUUUUGCUCUUGAAUUGAUUACGUAAAUGACCAAUAGGGGUUGGUUCGAGUGGUAAGCAGUUUGGAUUAGCUUAAGCAUGUUUCGUGUUCGAGUCCUAGUGUACGCAGACACCCCUGUUGAAAGACUCACCCAUCAUAGCCAGGUGUGCGACGCAGGUCGGGUCCGGAUUAGUCGGGGCAAAGUUCGGAUACCGGGCGGUCAAUCAAAAAAAAGAAUUGAUUACGUAAAUGUGCAUAGCUUGUCCCACAUGUUUUUUUUUUCCCCAAAUAUCCUUGAAUAGCCAAACGAAAUCUUGUACCGUUCCACUCCUUUCAAAUUGGUUAAUCAAUUGGAUUAACAUUUUUUUUGGCCGGAAAAAAAUUUCUAUAGAUCGUGCAUUUUAUCAUUGAACUAGUGCAAAGUGGAUUAACCAAUUUCCCAUAGGUCGAGCAUAGCACUACUACUUGAUCUAUAAGACAUUCAAAAUUUAUCUUCCUCUCUCAGAAUCCUUCUUCGUCGAGGACAUGUAGCGCAUUAGUUGAACGCAGAUUCCUUAGAAUGCAUGGGAACUUAUUCGUUUACGAAAUGGGCAAUCGAGAGAGAGAGAGAGAGAGAGGCAGGAUUAUAAUUUCUCGAAGGGCCAAGAUCGACCAAAGGGUCGUAUGGCAUUUUAUGCAUUGAUCAGAAUCUCUUCAAUAUUCGUUGCUUGGUUAUAAAUAGAGUUUGGGAAUGAUCAGUUUUUGCAAUGCAAUGCAAUGGGUUGAUAGGAAGGUAAGAGGAAGAGAGGCCUUACAUGAAGGUAAAGGUCCUCAUUUGGUAGCCAAGGAUGACUUGCCUGCUCCACCUCAGGGGGUUUCUCUAAGUCCACAAGUAAACCCUUUGUCGUGGUCGCCAGGAAGUCUCCUUGGCUAGCCUGAGAGGCUCUUUUCUCUCAUGCUAGGUCUUCUUUUCCCCUGCAGCCUCUGCCACCUCCCAGUCCUUUAUGAUUUUCUUUUAUCUCUUGCAAUUAUUCAAUUUUCCAUUAACUCCUUCAUCGUCGUGCUUUGCAGUUUGAGUACUUGCGAUGAUUGACAAAGCAUUGCAGUUUGAGUAUUAACUUUUGUUUAUCAGAAGCGUUGAAAAAUUUUCAUCAUAACACCGAUAUUUUGCAUUUCGGUACGUAAAAGUAUGUCUUGCAUUGUUUUAGCAUCAGCCAUCGUCUACUCCUCGGAUAAAUGUCAGUAAGAUGGAUCGUCUGUUUCAACAUUCGACCAGGUUUUACAAUAUUCGAUCCGACAAAUUUUUGUUUUUUGGGGGGUGGGAGGGGGAGUAAUUUUUGUUGGAGAAAACCUUACAAGCGCACAAAUUUUAGUGCCCCUAUUCCCUGUUCCCUAGCAUUUAAUUUGUAAGCCAUGUUUACUAAUCCUUCCUUUCUGUCUGUCUUCUUUUAUUUACAGAUCAAUUGUUUUUUUUAAAAAAAAAAAAAAAAAUCUUUAUCAAGAAAACAAAGGUGAAGUUCUUUGAAGUAUUCGGAGCAGGACUCCAAACGUAGUAAGGUGCCUAAGAUUCUCAUGUAAUGGCAAAAUCCAAUUAGGUCACGAAUGAAAUUUAAUGCAGGAACGAGGAACGAAACAAAAACCGUUCAUGGGACGUGUCAUACAGCAGCACUAAAAGUCUUCAAACAGCUCUCCGUGCCUUGAAUACCCAACAUUUUAGCAGCACACUUGGACGAUUGUGGGCAGAUGGCAUAUUUCAGCAACACAACUACUUACAAAUCCAGAAUAUAUUAUCAUGGAGCAAAAUAUCAAUAAUAUAUUUCUGUAUGGGUGUGAUCCAAUGCCCACCAAGCCACCAUGUGUACAUUUGCCUCCCAAGGGCCGGGCCCCAAAGAUUUAUGGAUAUACACUGUUUACAUCCAAGCCACGAUUGAGGCAUUUAUGUCCGGAUCCCUUUAUUUAAUCCAUCCAUUGAACCAAAAAUAUCCUGCCAAGGAGGGGAGCCUUCAUGAAGCUUUCGUGGGAGCAUUAUGAUGACGAUGCGGAAUUUUUUUUGUCUCUUAAAGUUCUCAUACGCGGUGAAGUGUCACCUUACCUAGCUUAUCACUCAUAAGAAGAUCUUUGAUUAAAAAGAGCGUUUUCAAUUGACCAACCUUAUCUACUGCCGACAGAGGACACUUGUCACUGUCAUGCACAGCCACGUAACAUCUUGCAAACUGACGCGGUGUCGGUACUGCAUGAAUUCGGCUUACACCUGGAACGCUGUUUGUGGCUCUUCCUCUGCAUGCACCGGCAAAUCCUCAUAACUUUACUGAUCUUUUUGGUUGUUCCCUUUCUUCUUCAGCUUGCCUAUAUAAAAACAGGGUUCCGCUGCAACUAUUUCUCGUCAAAUCCACCCAUUUGUGUGAAGAAGUCUUAUCAGUCAGUCUCUGAUCUUUCACCUUUCAUUGAUUUGUGUUCUAUAUUCUACUUCCGCUAGUAGUUGAAAUUUGGCAAUUAAGAUGGCACAAUACGGGGCUGAAUAUGGCAACCAAAAGAGCCAGUACGAUGAGUACGGAAACCCAGUUCGUCAGACAGACGAAUAUGGUAACCCAGCCCGCCAUGGAGGUACCAUGGGUGAUUAUGGAACCACUGGCACUACUGGAGCCUAUGGUGGCACAGCUGGAGCACAUGGGACUUAUGCAACUGGAACCACCGGCACUACCGGUACCGGUGCGUAUGCCACCCAGCCUGGCACUGAUGUGGGGAAGGAGCACCAUGGCCUUGGUGGCAUGCUUCAUCGCUCUGGUAGCGGUAGCUCUAGCUCGGUAUGCCCUCCUAAUUAAUCUCGUCUUGCUUAAAUUGUACUGAGUUGUAGUAGCAUUUAACAAAUCUUGACCAGCUUGUGAUGACUGGUAAUUAAAAAGUUCUUAUCUGUUUUCUUUUUGUUUUUUCGGUUGGGAUGCAGUCCGAGGAUGAUGGGCAAGGCGGGAGGAGGAAGAAGGGGAUGAAGGAGAAGAUAAAGGAGAAACUGCCUGGCGGUCACAAGGAGGCUCGACCUGGACAAGAAUAUUCGAGUGCUACUACAGCUCCUGGAUACGGCGGGGAAGGAGAGCAGCACGAGAAGAAAGGAAUUAUGGAUAAAAUCAAGGAGAAAUUACCAGGGGGUCACAACAACUGAAGAUCUAAUUCUAAUAAUAUGGGAUCCAAUUAUGAUAUUGUGUACCCCUAUUUUCAAUCUCAAUCUCAAUCUCGUUCGUGUCAUGUUUGUGUUUUCUGAGAUUUGAGUGUGUGGACGU